This 348-nucleotide transfer-messenger RNA is filed under the name Kallipyga gabonensis. It matches the Rfam family "transfer-messenger RNA". From Rfam's summary of the family: Bacterial tmRNA, also known as 10Sa RNA or SsrA, is named for its dual tRNA and mRNA-like properties. Its role is to liberate the mRNA from a stalled ribosome. Lineage: Bacteria; Bacillati; Bacillota; Tissierellia. The record is from RNAcentral.
GGGGAUGCCCUGGUUUCGACAGGGAUUUUGAAGAAAGAUAAGCGAGCCGUCAGGCAGUUGACGUUAAAAAGGCAACUAAAUUUAACUGCUAACGAUAACGAAUUAGCUUACGCUGCUUAGUUAAAAGCAGCCGGCCCUCCGGAUGGACCCGUAACAUACGGACUGGCCUCAACCAUGUCGGGAAACUUCUUGUGCUAAGCUUUGCCCACAAGUUGGAUCAAUGAAGCUACCGGGUGUUUUGGCUUGUUUAUUGGCUUAGCCACCCGGGAAUCAAAUUCAAUAAACUACGCUCGUAGAAGUUCUUUUGAAUGAGUUUCUGGACGCGGGUUCGAUUCCCGCCAUCUCCAU